CAUUCGGUGUAGCUAGCCGGCCCCGGCCUUUACCCGGGCGGCGGCGGAUUCCGGCAUCGGUUCGUAGCGGGCAAACGAACGGGUGAAGGAUGCGGCCCCAUGCGCCAGCGAGCGCAAAUCGAUUGCGUAGCGGGUCAGCUCGACCUGA
This 148-nucleotide small RNA is filed under the name Mycobacterium tuberculosis H37Rv. Its description in RNAcentral is "npcR 188". Lineage: Bacteria; Bacillati; Actinomycetota; Actinomycetes; Mycobacteriales; Mycobacteriaceae. The record is from RNAcentral.